Triticum dicoccoides is the source of this 1770-nucleotide long non-coding RNA. RefSeq lists it as uncharacterized. The transcript is spliced from 7 exons. Lineage: Eukaryota; Viridiplantae; Streptophyta; Magnoliopsida; Poales; Poaceae. The record is from RefSeq and is a predicted model, not a curated record.
GCGCCUCCCGCCGCCGCCCGCGUCGGCCACGCCGCCUCCACCCUCCUCCACGGCGCCCGCCACGCCGGCCUCCAAGAAGCACUGAACGACGUCCCCCUUCUUCCCCUUCUCCACGCCCAGCCCCAGCCCGGCGCACCACUUCUUCUCCUCCUCCUCGGCGGCCUCCCCAAAGGCCUCCUCCAAACGCCGCGGAUCCCCACGGACGCCGCGGCAGGGCAUGGUCGCGUUAAUCGCAUGGAGGGUCGAGUCGAGGAAAGCGACGACCUCGCAGGCAUCGGGUCAAGCGGCUGGCCCUUCUUACGCGAUGGCGCCGUUCUUUUCUUCCCCGACAGAGAUUGGUGCCGCCAUGGCCGCAUCAUGGAUUUUGUCUGCGUGCCAUCCGUGCCCCUCUGACGAUGCCCUGCAUCGCCACUGAUUUGGGAGUCUGUUAUUUUUUUUUGCGCUGGAUCCUGAUUUGGGCGGGAUUUUUUUCCCAGGCAUUGAGAGCGCGCUGGACAGCGGGAACUGUCGCGUCAAGGAGGACGCUAUGGACGGUGGAUCCUGGGCACUGCACGUUGCUGUCGGCCACGGGAGGAUGCCAUACCCUUUGGGCGCAACAAACUCUUGGCCAUAGCCUCUUCCGCUUUUCACAACAAGAAAGAGAUGCAUAUGAGAGGAAGAGAGCCUCCCCCAAGCUCCGUCUAGGCGAUACAUGGGAAAUUUGGAAAUUUGGAAACUAUCAAGGAGAUGUCGAAUGAUGAAUAUACUCAGAUACUGAGACACAUUCUAAAACGUGUUUACGCAGGUGAUGGGGCUGCUGCCAACUUGGGCCCGCUCAAGAACGGCGACUCUACAGGAGGGGGGUGGAGUCGCGGAAGCUCCUGUGCUAUUGGGAGCGACGAUUCCACAAUGAGCCGGUCUUUCGUCACCGACGAGUUGGAGGAUGUCCAAGCCCGGAAGUGUUCGUCACCACUGAGCCGCGGCUGAGAUAAUACUGACGCGAUGUCCAGAUUUGGAUGUCUCAUCUCUGAACAUUUGAAACGCCGAGUACUCCAUGAAAGCUUGCCUAGCCCUUUUGCGCAAUAUUAUAUCUUUGGACGUUUGCACUUCCGCGGCUCUAGACAUGAGCUUCCUUAUAUGAGUGCUAGCGCGCUACAUUGCAGAGAAAGCUUUGAGAAAAUGCUUUGUUCGGAUGAUAGACAAGAAUAAUCAAUCCUCAUUCCAAGGUUGCGAGCCGGCUGCGCCAUCAACGACGAUGGCGAGUUUGGAUUAGAAAUGCGAAGAUGAGAAGAUAGUUGGAGAGGAAGAAGGUAUAAAAUCGACAAUAGCGUCUGAUGUGCGUGCGGAUCCUAAUGGUACAUGUUUGACGCGAUCGGUGCUAACCUAAUAAGAUAUAUGCGGUGGCGCGAGGUGGGGCGGCAAUGAGGCGGUUGUGCUGCAUGAGGCAGCCAAGUCCAAGGCUGCACCGGGGAGGCUCCUGUUGGGGUGACGCAUGGGCGGCAGCCACCCCCAAGACCCUGUUAGCAUAAUGUCAUAACGAUAUAUUAAUAUUGAUUGUUGUGCAAAGGAGAAGGUUAUUGUUUGUAGUUAUAUUAGUUUAUUUCCUCAAUAUACAAUGACCUGGCUUAUUCUGUGUCCAAGAGGAAGGAAAAAUAUAUUUCUAGGUGUCAUGUGACUUACCUUUUAAAAGGAAUAAUCUCAUGCUAUUCAGGCUUCACUAUUUGCUUCACAGAACUAUUGUAGCCAUAAAAAGAAAGGCCAUCAUGGAGUAUAUAUAACAUCGUUUUUCUA